ACACUUCUAAAAAGAAGACAUUUAUGCAGCCAACAGGCACAUGAAAAAAUGCUCAUCAUCACUGCAUCAGAGAAACGCAAAUCAAAACCUCAAUGAGGUACCAUCUUAUACCAGUUAGAAUGGCGAUCAUUAAAUAGUCAGGAAACAACAGGUGCUGGAGAGGAUGUGGAGAAAUAGGAACACUUUUACACUGUUGGUGGGACUGUAAACUAGUUCAACCAUUGUGGAAGACAGUGUGGUGAUUCCUCAAAGAUCUAGAACUAGAAAUACCAUUUGAACCAGCCAUCCCAUUACUGGGUAUAUACCCAAAGGAUUACAAAUCAUGCCGCUAUAAAGACAAUAACUACACUAUUUUGCCCCUGGACCUAAGGAAUUAUACCAUAAAGAAAUACAGAGCUCACUCUACAGGUCAAAGGGAAUGAGCAAAGACAGAUUCUGCCUGAUUCACCUUCCCUUGUCAGGGCCAAGAAAACCUACAGUGACUGCUGUCAGCACCAGGUGACAUGUGAGACAUAUGUCUAAUUAAAACAAAACAUAUCUUUUAAACUCAGCACACAAUUCUCUUCGCAGGUUCUAAAUAUAGCUGGGCAAGGCUUCGGAUUUUAGUGGGAGAUGGCCAGAGGCGAAGCAACUGAUAAAAGUAGCUGAAUAGCUCUCCCUCUCUGAGCUAGGUGCAAGCUCCUGACGUAGGAAGCGAUCCCUCCUUGCCACAGAUAACCCACGUAGCCAGGUGCUGCCAAGCAGCUUCCACCUGGAGGAGGGCAGCUGCUCUGCGCAUGACCAGUAGCUGUGGAUGGCAUCGUCGAGGCAUCUGGAGGAAGCUGCAGCCCCACAAGGCCCCUGACCCCUCUGCCUUUCCCUCUGCUGGCUCCUCUUCCUCCCUCUUUCCCUGCUGUCCCCUGUAGAGAACUUUCUACCAGUCCACACACCAACCUAGGUGCAGCCCCCCUGCGUGACUCCCUCCCUGACUAUCAUAACCAUGGCCAGCAGUAUCUCCACAUCUCUGCCCAGAUCCCCCUGGGAAGGCUUAUCCCAGGCCCCAGGUUUGGGGCAAUGCCCAGUGGCAUCGGAUGGGGUCCCCCUUGAAAGGAAGCACAGAAAGACUGAGCCAUCAACGUAGUCCCCUCCAUCACCUGCCACUGUCCCCAAAAUCUCCCACACCGGAAGUGUUUAGAUUGUCUAAGGACAAUAUUGUCUAGGGUUUGAGGACCACCCCACAGCAAAAACACUAGAAAGCUAGUUCCAAAAUGCAAAUCCCAGGCCAAGCCCCUCACCUCCUGAGGCAGCAUCCCUGGGUAUAGAUCUCAGAAAUCUGCAGUUUUAAUACAAAGGCCCCCUAAACUUAAAGAAACAGCCUGAAUUCACAUGGGCACACCUUACCUGAGCAGGCAAUACAGUGACAAGGGUGGAAACAGAGGGGACGAGACCUGACACUGGGAAGGCCUGACAGAGGGAAGGAAGGAAAGCUCUCAGGCUAAGGGCGCUGGGAACCCCACUCUUCCCUCUAGGGAGUUGCCGUUCCCUGAGGGGCCUGAGGAGCCUCCUCCUGAAGCCCCAGCUAUUCAAAUUACACCUUUUCUUAUUAGGACAUCAGGAGGUGUUGCCCCUUAGCUUUCCAUUCUAACCUCCUCAAUGUAGGGGCCUUGCUGGUGUCGAGGACAGAGCGGAGGCCUCAAGGGUAUGUGCAGUCUAGGUGGCCUUGGUGGAGGGGCAGGAUUCUACAUUUGGGAGGGGACUUCUUGCUGAACUCCUUCCAGAUGGGUCAAAUGGGGUAGACUGAGGGAGUGGUGUGGGAGGUGGUAAAGAACCAAGUAGGGACUGGAUGGAUCCUGGGAGUUUACAGGGCUGCCUCGGAGAGGGAGGGUGCUGAGAGAGAGGAGACCAGGGUGGGCACCAACGCGAUCCCUGCAGGCUAUGAGUGUAGGAUCAGAGAGGGUUAAGGGCCAGAAGCCCCUGUGUGUUUAGGACUGUGGCACCAUGGGUGCAUCCCCUGAGAAGCGAAGCUCAGGCAGGAGCAGCAGUGGGCAAAGAGCCUGGUGGUGCAGGUGCAGGCCCUGUAGAGGAGGCAGUGACAACACCCAGCCCAGGCCGACUCUCUCUGCCUGUCCCCUGAGUCCCCUGGCACCUCUCCACAUCUGCUCAGCCCUCCCAGUUAACCUAGCACUGGUAGAUGGUUGAUAUGAUUUGGAUCUGUGUCCCCAAAUCUCAUGUUGAAUUCUAAUCCCCAGUGUUGGAGGUGGGGCCUGGUGGGAGGUGAUUGGAUCAUGGGGGUGAAUCCUUCAUGAAUGGCUUAGCUUUAUCCCCUUAAUGCUGUUCUUGUGGUAGUGAGGGAAUUCUUGCAAUAUCUGGUUGUUUAAAAGUGUGUAGCACUUCCCCCCCAACACUCUUUUGUUCCUGUUCCAACUGUGUGAAGUGCUCACUCCCCCUUUGCCUUCUGCUAUGACUGUUAAGUUUCCUGAGGCCUUCCCAGAAGCUGAGCAGGUGUCAGCAUCAUGCUUUCUG
This 2502-nucleotide long non-coding RNA is filed under the name Homo sapiens (human). RNAcentral describes it as "non-protein coding LINC01544:4". The record is from RNAcentral. Lineage: Eukaryota; Metazoa; Chordata; Mammalia; Primates; Hominidae.